RNAcentral lists this ribosomal RNA (484 nucleotides) under uncultured bacterium. RNAcentral's name for it is "partial 16S ribosomal RNA". It matches the Rfam family "Bacterial small subunit ribosomal RNA", at positions 30 to 507 of the family's 1533-position model. The record is from RNAcentral.
AUUGAACGCUGGCGGAAUGCUUUACACAUGCAAGUCGAACGGCAGCACGGUGGCAACCCUGGUGGCGGGUGGCGAACGGGUGAGUAAUACAUCGGAACGUGCCCGGUCGUGGGGGCUAACGUAGCGAAAGUUACGCUAAUACCGCAUACGAUCUGAGGAUGAAAGCGGGGGACCUUCGGGCCUCGCGCGCUCGCAGCGGCCGAUGUCAGAUUAGGUAGUUGGUGGGGUAAAGGCCUACCAAGCCGACGAUCUGUAGCUGGUCUGAGAGGACGACCAGCCACGCUGGGACUGAGACACGGCCCAGACUCCUACGGGAGGCAGCAGUGGGGAAUUUUGGACAAUGGGCGCAAGCCUGAUCCAGCCAUUCCGCGUGGAUGACGAAGGCCUUCGGGUUGUAAACUGCUUUUGUAUGGAACGAAAAGGAUCUGGCUAAUACCUGGGGCUCAUGACGGUACCGUAAGAAUAAGCACCGGCUAACUACGUG